Cuculus canorus (common cuckoo) is the source of this 2186-nucleotide long non-coding RNA. RefSeq lists it as uncharacterized. The record is from RefSeq and is a predicted model, not a curated record. Lineage: Eukaryota; Metazoa; Chordata; Aves; Cuculiformes; Cuculidae. The transcript is spliced from 3 exons.
UAGCUGGAACACUUUAUUAUCUCCCAAAACUGGGCAAGAUUAGCAGAGUAUCUCUGUGUUAAGUAUUGGAACUCACCUAGGAGCUAGCUCAAACUUGCAUGUGGAUGUAUGUCUGAGGAAAUUAAAACCAAAAAAAAACUUAAAAUCCAUAUAGGCUUUUAGCUAUGCUCUUCUCACCACCUUUGCUACCCUCUCUUCCUAGCUCCUAGCACACAUUCCCCUCAGAGGCUGACACAUAGUCAUUUAUAUCUAUAAAUGGCACUGCUUAUUCUUAACCCUGUCCAGCAGAGGAUAACUUGAGCUGGCACAGCUGCUGACAUGGGUGUUACAAUCCUUGUUGCUAAUUCAAAAAUCUCUACUUUUAGCAGCUACUUUUGCAAAGGUGUACAUCUCCUGCAUGGCAUCCAAAUAGUAAAGAAAUUCAGAGUGAAUAAAAGCUCUUACUGGCUGAGUAUACAAUUUGUAAAGAAUCUGCUAAUCUAAGGCUGAAGUUCCAUGCAGAUCAACCUGUGUUCAUAAGAGAUUUUUGGAUUAUAUUGUCAUUUAGUUUAUUCUUAAUGUAUGUAGUAAAGAAACUGGAAGACUGUACUGCUCCUCCUUACCUUUUCAAAAAAGUAGCCGGGGCUAUUUUUCACAGCUAUCGUACACUAAAGGGCAGGCAAUAAAAACCUUAGUAACGUGACCAGGAAGACGGACUGUCUCACAUUUGCUCACUCGGAGAAAUAUAGGCAGCGAUUCAGCAAGUACAGAACGACCUAGUUUGCUUUAAGACACGUAAACCAGCCUACUGAUUGGAAAUCAAGCACACGCUUAGCUAAGACCAUAUCGUAAUUGAUAAGCAGUUCUGUGAUCAGAGAAGAAGAUCAGCUGCUGCCUUGGGUACAAUACUGAAGAGCAGUCAACACCACAAUCUCAUCUCACGUCUGUGCAACAACCCACACCCUGCCACUCACGAGAAGAGAAAGAAGAAAGGCAAAACAGUGUUCAACACUGAGCCCAACCAAGUUUGUAUUCUAGGAAGACAUGACCUUUCCGAGUGCAAAAGCCUUUUAGUCAUCUUUGGGAACGGGAGAAAAUUCAAAGCCUUGGAACUGUGGCCAACACUGAAUCCUCUCACAAGAAUCAGCACACAGGAAAAUAAAAGUUCUCAUUUUCAGAGAGCUGGACCUUUAUUCUGGGAAGGGCUUCUCUUACAUUAUUAUGAAACAGACACUCACAAAUUAAGUUAAUGAAAGUUAUUCGUCACUUCUGAAAACUGUCAGUUCAGUAACUGCAGUGAAACCAAGAACUACUGAAAUGCUCGAUACAAGUACAAGUGAACCUUUCCUUGACAAUGACAGUAAAAUCAUGUUGGUUCUAUUUUCUUCCCAGCCAAUCAGGUAUCUGCUGUGAGGUUUUUUGGUGUUUUUCUUGUUUGUCCUUUUGUGUUUGUUUGGGUUUUUUUUUAAUUUAUUGUACACUGUUCAGCUGCAGAAUUGUAGAAGCUGGAUUUACUCUGAGAUUACUUAUGUUAAAAAUUCAGUGGCUUCUAAAGAGCCUUCUGUUUGCUUACAUUUCGAUCAAGCUUUGCUUUUAGCUUUAUUCCUGAAGCUGUUAUUAUGCCAGCAGUGCUUGCCACAAUAUCCAUUGCAACCCCUUUUCCCAUUCUGGUGCAUAUAGUGAACUGGUAAAAAAAUGAGAUAUUUUAAUUGAAGAAUUAAAUCAGCUCUUAAAUCAGAAGAAGAAUCUACUCUUCCUGCCUAAACUUGGCCCACAUGCUUCACCCAGAGAAGUGCGCAAGAAAGGGAUUUUCCCUUAAGUAACUCAGCUUCAACAUUUUCUGCUGUUCAGCUGGAGAUUCACUCUGACAGCAAAAUAUCUGCAGAUGUAAACGUGUGCUAACCACAAGGGCAUGGCUACUCAAGAACCUAAGCCUCUGUAACCUUAGCCCUGACAAUGAAAACUCAGUUUCAUGGAUCAAUAAUUGGAUGAUAAUUUGCUACUGUAGCAAACAGGCUAUUUUAAGUUUUGCAGUAUAGCUACUGCAAGUACAGACAGCUCUUAAAUGAAAGUCUUUUCUUUCUCACUUGACAACCAAAACAGCUCAGUUGCUUUAAAGUUUAUUGAAGUUUUUUUUUUUACCAAUCAACUCAUAAAAUAUAUUAUCUGUCAACUUCACUUCAUGUUGACACCAUUAAUUAUUUUAG